This 480-nucleotide ribosomal RNA is filed under the name Micromonospora sp. RNAcentral's name for it is "bacterial SSU rRNA". It matches the Rfam family "Bacterial small subunit ribosomal RNA", at positions 103 to 598 of the family's 1533-position model. Lineage: Bacteria; Bacillati; Actinomycetota; Actinomycetes; Micromonosporales; Micromonosporaceae. The record is from RNAcentral.
CGGGUGAGUAACACGUGAGCAACCUGCCCUAGGCUUUGGGAUAACCCUCGGAAACGGGGGCUAAUACCGAAUAUGACCUGACAUCGCAUGGUGUUUGGUGGAAAGUUUUUCGGCCUGGGAUGGGCUCGCGGCCUAUCAGCUUGUUGGUGGGGUAAUGGCCUACCAAGGCGACGACGGGUAGCCGGCCUGAGAGGGCGACCGGCCACACUGGGACUGAGACACGGCCCAGACUCCUACGGGAGGCAGCAGUGGGGAAUAUUGCACAAUGGGCGGAAGCCUGAUGCAGCGACGCCGCGUGAGGGAUGACGGCCUUCGGGUUGUAAACCUCUUUCAGCAGGGACGAAGCGUAAGUGACGGUACCUGCAGAAGAAGCACCGGCCAACUACGUGCCAGCAGCCGCGGUAAGACGUAGGGUGCGAGCGUUGUCCGGAUUUAUUGGGCGUAAAGAGCUCGUAGGCGGCUUGUCGCGUCGACUGUGAA